This 77-nucleotide transfer RNA is filed under the name Parasulfuritortus sp. RNAcentral's name for it is "tRNA-Ile". It matches the Rfam family "tRNA". Rfam says of the family: Transfer RNA (tRNA) molecules are approximately 80 nucleotides in length. Their secondary structure includes four short double-helical elements and three loops (D, anti-codon, and T loops). The record is from RNAcentral. Lineage: Bacteria; Pseudomonadati; Pseudomonadota; Betaproteobacteria; Nitrosomonadales; Thiobacillaceae.
GGGCCUGUAGCUCAGUUGGUUAGAGCAGGGGUCUCAUAAACCCUUGGUCGCCGGUUCAAGUCCGGCCGGGCCCACCA